UACAUAGGGUGCGAGCGUUGUCCGGAAUUAUUGGGCGUAAAGAGCUCGUAGGCGGUCUGUCGCGUCUGCUGUGAAAUCCCGAGGCUCAACCUCGGGCUUGCAGUGGGUACGGGCAGGCUAGAGUGCGGUAGGGGAGAAUGGAACUCCUGGUGUAGCGGUGGAAUGCGCAGAUAUCAGGAAGAACACCGAUGGCGAAGGCAGUUCUCUGGGCCGUAACUGACGCUGAGGAGCGAAAGCGUGGGGAGCGAACAGG
Molecule: ribosomal RNA, 253 nt
Filed under: uncultured bacterium
Lineage: Bacteria
Description: partial 16S ribosomal RNA
Rfam family: Bacterial small subunit ribosomal RNA
Source: RNAcentral